GGAUCUGCCCUAAGCCCACAACCAAACAAGGAACAGGAAAUAAGGCGGAAACCACAUAUCCCACAAUCUAUCGAGUAUUCUUCAUACGUAACCCUGAUGCAUAAACUAAAGAGUUAUAGAACUAACUAUGAAUGUUUGUUAUUAUAUCCGGUUGUAGUAUAUAAAACAUAUUAGUUUGUAUGCUUGGUUACUACUAGAUGUAUUGUAUGAUGAAUUCUGUAUGAAAACCUAUGUGUGGAAUGCUCUGUUUGAAAACCCUGACUACCACCGGUAUGUAUAGUAGUUUUAUUAUUUAAAUAAAGUCGUGUAUGGUAUUCCUAAAAUCCCCAAAUGUAAUGUAUAAUAGUUCUAUUAAUUAAAAUAAAACUAAUGAAGAAUGAAUUCUCAUAAACAAAGUAUAGUUUAUACUUAUUGUGAGUCGUAUAACCAUGCUUGAUAUGACCUAGUGACAUUUACGACGUUCUUCAAGUGUCGGUAAAAUGAGAUUUGUCACCUCAGGCAUGCCUACCUAAACUGUAGCUAGCAGUUUAGGUGUGGGAUUGUUGAUCCUGAAUAAAUCUAUUCACAAAUCUCAUGCUCUCCCUCCAGGAGACUCUGGUUGUACUAUGAUAGGAACGUCAAAUUCAUGACAACCUAUGCCUUCACUCUACGACCUGCAUACUCCUUUUGGCUAGGGGCAUCCGCUACCACAUUGGCUUUGCUAGGAUGGUAACGUAUUUCACACUCAUAAUCACUGAGCAGCUCUACCCAUCGUUACUGCCUCAUGUUCAACUCUUUCUGGUCAAAGAUAUGUUGUAGGCUCUUAUGGUUAGUGAAGACAGUGCACUUGGUCCCGUAGAGAUAAUGUCUCUAGAUCUUUAACGCGAAGACCACUGCUCCCAACUCUAGAUCGUGAGUUGUGUAAUUGACUUCGUGUGUUUUCAGCUAGCUCGAGGCAUAGGCAAUAACCUUUCCUCGCUGCAUGAGCAUACAACCUGUGUCAGGGUGGUUAAAGGCUUAGCGAUUUUGGAGAAGUUCUGGAUAAACCUGCGAUAAUAGCUAGCGAGACCCAAGAAUUGACGGACUUCUAUGGGCAUCUUUGGUGCUGACCAAUUCUCAAUCGAUGUGAUCUUGGAAGGCUCCACAUGUAUGCCUUCCUCGCUAACCACGUGACCAAGGAAGGUUACUUUUCUGAUCCAGAAUUCGCAUUUUAAAAGCUUUGCAUAUAGUUUCUCUGCGCUUAGUGUUUCUAACACUAGUCUCAAGUGCUGUCUAUGAUCUUCCUCGCUCAGAGAGUAGACAAGUAUAUCAUCAAUGAACAUGAUUACAAACUUGUCGAGGGAACGGCGGCACACCCCCAAACCGGAAUGGCAGAAACGUUCGGGGGUGGAUGACGUCAUGCGUAGUAUCACAACAAUUGUAUCAUAACAAUCAUAGUAAACACAACCAUUACAUUGAAUACACAUAUGAAAAAGCUUUACAUUUGUUUAAUGCUUGUUUUUAUACAUCAAAAGUAUAAUCAAAAGAAAAAUACAUAAUUUUACACACUCCAUCUUCCCAAAACUCCAGAAGGUACCUGUCUACUGAUUUCCUGAAAAUACAAGCAGUUUUGAAAGAGUAUCAACAUAAAGUUGGUGAGUUCAUAAGCGAUGUUUUUGUAAUGAAAAGCUGUUAAUGACUCUGUAAAAAUGUUCACACGUUUUCCAAGAAAAUCCAAUAUUUUCUUUAGUAAAAGUAUGGUAAUACCAGUUCCUUCUAUAACCACUUAGUUCAUGCUAGUCACGUAUAAACCAAUAUCGAACAGACAGUUAGUUAUAUGGAUCUGCCCUAAUCCCACAACCAAACAAGGAACAAAAAAUAAGGUGGAAACCACAUAUCCCAUAAUCUAUCGAGUAUUCUUCAUACGUAACCCUAAUGCAUAAAAUAAAGAGUUUUAGAACUAACUAAGAAUGUUUGUUAUUAUAUCCGGUUGUAGUAUAUAAAACAUAUUAGUUUGUAUGCUUGGUUACUACUAGAUGUAUUGUAUGAUGAAUUCUGUAUGAAAACCUCUGUGUGGAAUGUUCUGUUUGAAAACUCUGACUACCACCACUAUGUAUAGUAGUUUUAUUAUUUAAAUAAAACCGUGUAUUUUAUUUCUAAAAUCCCCAAAUGUAAUGUAUAAUAGUUCUAUUAAUUAAAAUAAAACUAAUGAAGAAUGAAUUCUCAUAAACAAAGGUUAGUUUAUACUUAUUGUGAGUCGUAUAACCAUGCUUGAUAUGACCUAGUGACCUUUACGACGUUCUUCAAGUGUCGGU
This 2273-nucleotide long non-coding RNA is filed under the name Lactuca sativa (garden lettuce). Its description in RNAcentral is "long non-coding RNA (LSAT_LNC009709)". The record is from RNAcentral. Lineage: Eukaryota; Viridiplantae; Streptophyta; Magnoliopsida; Asterales; Asteraceae.